RNAcentral lists this ribosomal RNA (432 nucleotides) under bacterium enrichment culture clone ALO1_GLFRUDD03FUKAN. RNAcentral's name for it is "bacterial SSU rRNA". It matches the Rfam family "Bacterial small subunit ribosomal RNA", at positions 9 to 444 of the family's 1533-position model. The record is from RNAcentral.
GAGUUUGAUCAUGGCUCAGAUUGAACGCUGGCGGCAUGCCUUACACAUGCAAGUCGAACGGCAGCACGGGAGCUUGCUCCUGGUGGCGAGUGGCGAACGGGUGAGUAAUGCAUCGGAACGUAUCCUGGAGUGGGGGAUAACGUAGCGAAAGUUACGCUAAUACCGCAUAUUCUGUGAGCAGGAAAGCGGGGGACCUUCGGGCCUCGCGCUCUUGGAGCGGCCGAUGUCGGAUUAGCUAGUUGGUGAGGUAAAGGCUCACCAAGGCGACGAUCCGUAGCAGGUCUGAGAGGAUGAUCUGCCACACUGGAACUGAGACACGGUCCAGACUCCUACGGGAGGCAGCAGUGGGGAAUUUUGGACAAUGGGGGCAACCCUGAUCCAGCCAUGCCGCGUGAGUGAAGAAGGCCUCGGUUGUAAGUACGUACUUCGUCG